UCCAGACUCCUACGGGAGGCAGCAGUGGGGGAUAUUGCACAAUGGGGGGAACCCUAAUGCAGCGACGCCGCGUGGGUGAAGGAGCGUUUCGGCGCGUAAAGCCCUCUCGGCAGGGAAGAAGGAGGACGGUACCUGACUAAGAAGCCCCGGCUAACUACGUGCCAGCAGCCGCGGUAAUACGUAGGGGGCAAGCGUUAUCCGGAUUUACUGGGUGUAAAGGGGGCGCAGACGGCAGCGCAAGCCAGGAGUGAAAGCCCGGGGCCCAACCCCGGGACUGCUCUUGGAACUGCGCGGCUGGAGUGCAGGAGGGGCAGGCGGAAUUCCUGGUGUAGCGGUGAAAUGCGUAGAUAUCAGGAGGAACACCGGUGGCGAAGGCGGCCUGCUGGACUGCGACUGACGCUGAGGCUCGAAAGCGUGGGGAGCAAACAGGAUUAGAUACCCGCGUA
This 446-nucleotide ribosomal RNA is filed under the name uncultured bacterium. RNAcentral's name for it is "partial 16S ribosomal RNA". It matches the Rfam family "Bacterial small subunit ribosomal RNA", at positions 330 to 792 of the family's 1533-position model. The record is from RNAcentral.